RNAcentral lists this ribosomal RNA (1382 nucleotides) under metagenome. RNAcentral's name for it is "bacterial LSU rRNA". It matches the Rfam family "Bacterial large subunit ribosomal RNA", at positions 1549 to 2925 of the family's 2925-position model. The record is from RNAcentral.
UGUAUGUGUGAGAUCUGAUGGGGUUAAGUUGGUGAUCCUAUGCUGUCAAGAAAAACCUCGGCGCGAGGUGUGAGCCGCCCGUACCCUAAACCGACUCAGGUGAUCAGGUAGAGAAUACUAAGGCGAUCGAGAUAAUCAUGGUUAAGGAACUCGGCAAAAUGCCCCCGUAACUUCGGGAGAAGGGGGGCCUCGAGCGUGAACACCUUUACGGUGGUAAGCGUGUAGGGGCCGCAGAGACCAGGGAGAAGCGACUGUUUACUAAAAACACAGGUCCGUGCGAAGUUGCAAAACGAUGUAUACGGACUGACGCCUGCCCGGUGCUGGAAGGUUAAGAGGACCGGUUAGCUCAACUUGUUGAGCGAAGCUGAGAAUUUAAGCCCCAGUAAACGGCGGUGGUAACUAUAACCAUCCUAAGGUAGCGAAAUUCCUUGUCGGGUAAGUUCCGACCUGCACGAAUGGCGUAACGACUUCUCCGCUGUCUCAACCGUGAACUCGGCGAAAUUGCAUUACGAGUAAAGAUGCUCGUUACGCGCAGCAGGACGGAAAGACCCCGGGACCUUUACUAUAGCUUGGUAUUGGUAUUCGGUGUGAUUUGUGUAGGAUAGGUGGGAGACUGUGAAGCUCGGGCGCUAGCUUGGGUGGAGUCGCCGUUGAAAUACCACUCUGAUCAUAACGGAUACCUUAACCUCGGACCCUGAUCGGGUUCAGGGACAGUGCCUGGUGGGUAGUUUAACUGGGGCGGUUGCCUCCUAAAAUGUAACGGAGGCGCUCAAAGGUUCCCUCAGCCUGGUUGGCAAUCAGGUGGCGAGUGUAAGUGCACAAGGGAGCUUGACUGUAAGACUGACAGGUCGAGCAGGGACGAAAGUCGGAACUAGUGAUCCGGCCAUGGCUUGUGGAAGCGUGGUCGCUCAACGGAUAAAAGGUACCCCGGGGAUAACAGGCUGAUCUUGCCCAAGAGUCCAUAUCGACGGCAUGGUUUGGCACCUCGAUGUCGGCUCGUCGCAUCCUGGGGCUGGAGUAGGUCCCAAGGGUUGGGCUGUUCGCCCAUUAAAGCGGUACGCGAGCUGGGUUUAGAACGUCGUGAGACAGUUCGGUCCCUAUCCGCUGCGCGCGCAGGAAACUUGAGAAGACCUGUCCCUAGUACGAGAGGACCGGGACGGACGAACCUCUGGUGUGCCAGUUGUACCGCCAGGUGCAUGGCUGGUUGGCUACGUUCGGAAGGGAUAACCGCUGAAAGCAUCUAAGCGGGAAGCCUGCUUCAAGAUGAGGUUUCCAUCCCCUUUGGGGGUGUAGGUGUCCAGUAGACCACUGGGUUGAUAGGCCGGAUGUAGAAGCAAGGACGAAAGACUUGUGGAGCUGACCGGUACUAAUACACCAACAAC